Molecule: long non-coding RNA, 404 nt
Filed under: Pan paniscus (pygmy chimpanzee)
Lineage: Eukaryota; Metazoa; Chordata; Mammalia; Primates; Hominidae
Description: lncRNA (ENSPPAG00000045157.1)
Source: RNAcentral
AUGUUUUUAAUGGGUCAGAGGAGUUCCUCUGUCUCUGGGAAAUGUCUCCAUUUAUGUUGUGGGUCUCUCCACAGGCAACAUUCAAAUUGGCUUGGUCAACUGAGACUCUGGCUAGAACUGACUUCCCCGCUGACCUGUCCUGCUUUAAGCCAUCGUUCCCUGCUCUAUAGGGGUCAGUUUUCUCAUGGUCUCCUGAUUCUUUUUUCAUUCCAGAGGUGAGUACUUCUUCUCAGAGCCUUCUCCGACCAGAUUGGCUGCCCUCAAACUUCAAUUUGGCUCUGUCUCUUCCUGUCUCCAGCUUGUGCAGGCAAAGAUGUGGUUGCAUCAGCCACAAGUUGUGGAUCACAUCCCCAUGCCCCUUAUGCGAAUAUGAUAAAUGAGAGAGACAGUGGAAUUUUCUUAGG